This is a non-coding RNA of Arachis ipaensis, 3193 nucleotides long. Lineage: Eukaryota; Viridiplantae; Streptophyta; Magnoliopsida; Fabales; Fabaceae. The record is from RefSeq and is a predicted model, not a curated record.
AUUAUCUGUACCCAUUAUUUAAAAUAGUCUAAAACUCUGAUUCAACCCUAGAAUUACAUACUAAAACAAAAACAACGCUGCCACUGUGUCAGAGGAAGGACGAAAACGACGUUGUCACUGUGAUCUUCUCCGGCGGUGAUCUGCUCCGGCGACGAUCUUCUCCAGCGCCGAUCUCCUCUGACUAGAAUCUCCUCUCCAUCGAGAUUCUGUGUUGUGAACCGAAACUCUCUCCUUAUCUCCUUUAGUGACAAUCUCUCCAGCGAUAAUCUCCUAUGGCGAUGUUCUCCUCCGGCGGCGCGUUCUCCUCCUUCGUCAAGAUUUUCUCCAGAUCUAGAGACACAAUUCAAGCUGUGACAAAUUUUGCCAAACAGAAUACAUUGCCUAUUCUCAUGCAAGAACAGAUGAUUGCACAUUUUCAUAUGAAGUACAGAACUGAUAUAGAAGGGUUGCAGCAGCAAGAGAUCAUGUUUACAUUUGGAAAGGCUCGUGUACCAAUUAUUAAAUUUCUUGAAAAGAAAAGUGGGCUUGCAUUUGAUGUAAGGUAUUAUGUGCUUCCAUACUCAAUUCUUUAAAUAAACAAUGAAUUAGUAAAAGCUAAAGAAUUCUUUUUAUAUUUGUUAGUUAGAGUUUCUGUUACUUCAGUGGAUAUUAUUCUCCUUAUUCUUGGUUUUGAUUUGAUUCAGUGAUCUUAUUAUGGCUUAAUUGGUUCAAAAGGAAAAGUUUGUAUUCAAUAAGUUAGGUUGAAGUAAUUUCAUUUUGUUGGAGAGAAGAAAUGGAGGGAAGUGGGAACUGUCUUCAGGUUCUCAGCGACAACCACAAGUGCCUCUUUUGUGCUCAGGAAACACUACUGCAAUCUUCUUUACCAUUACGAACAAGUUCACUUCUUUAAUGUUAAAGGUCCUCUAUACUCUCCAUCAUCAGAUUCAGUUUCUGGCAGCAAGCACUCCUGGAGAUCUGAGCUAGCUAUUGUUGAAUAUUCUCCCAAGCCAGUGAACCAUACUAACAAGAAUAUUCUCAAUAUUCUCAAGGUAUAGUUGUAACAAGAAUGCAUAAAUGUCAAGAAUAUUCUCAAGGUAUUUCAUAAUUCAUAUUCCAUGCUUAAGAAUUAUUAUUUCAAUCAUAAUAUAAUUAUCAGACUUCGGUCUUGCUAGGGCAUUUUUUGGAGAUCAAUCUGAGGCCACAACAAAAAGAGUGAUAGGAACUUAGUUAGUAGGCUAAAAUAUUGUUUACUAGUUCAAGUUGCAACAUUUUUUCCUUCGAAAUUCUUAUGUGAUGCACUGAAUGCAAUGUAGUGGCUAUAUUUCUCCUGAGUAUGCAGUGCAGGGAUCCUUCUCAACGAAAUCUGAUAUGCAGGGAUCCUUCGGAAUUCUUAUGAAUUUGUGUGUGAUCAGUGUAUAAAUUUUUUUAUUUUCGUAUUGAUUCACAUAUCUUAUAGCGUAGUCUUUGGUGCUUUGUAUAUAAAUUUCUCUGCAAGAGACUACCAGAAGCAGUUAGAGCUUUGUCAUAACAGAAUUGCCAGCGUGGCAGCCAUUAUAACUAACUUAGGAGUGGAGUCUUAACUCAUAACAAUAUUCAACUGCAUGCUAGUUGUGCUAAUAACGGUUGAUAUGAUUAGUGUUCUUCACUCUCCAAGGCUUUUAAAGAGAUAAAUGAGGAAUCAAAGAUCCUCAGUCUGAGCAAUGAGUUUGUGAAACUGCUUGAUCUCUGGAAUGUUCACGAUCUAUUUGAUGAAUUGAUUCAGAGAGCUUCCGAAAUAUCAUUUCAAGAUGUGUUUUAUUCCUUUCAUAUGGACUUGUUCCACGCAGAAAAAAGGCCUUGGAAGACCAAAUAAUGGCUGACAUCAUUCGCCUCAACAGCUCUGCUUCCACGGUUUUCAACUUUGCAUCAAUAUUUUGAAUUUUUUAUACUGAUAUUUUGGCAUCCACAUCUUAGCAGUAUAAUAUUUGAGCAGCCAUCGUGCUAUAUUUUUAAUGAUAAUUAUUAAUUAAUAUUGGAACUUUAUAUCUUAAGCAACGGUGGUGUGCUUAUCUUAUGGAAUGUUAAAUUGCAGGUCAAGAUCGACGGUGACAAUUGGUAAGGAUGAAUUUUAUAAAAAGCAUGCAUGUUAGCUUAAUUAAGGUUUCUGCUAAAAAUGUUAAUAUAUAUAAACUAAUGUUCUCAAAUUUAGUACUAACGCAAAUAUAAUACAUUAUGCUUCCGUAGCUGAAUGCUAUAAUAAAAAAGAGUUCACAAAUAUAUAUAAACUAAUGCUAUAAUAAAUGUCCUAGAAUUAUUUUAUGCAAAGAAUUAUAAUUUCAAUCAUAAUAUGUGGUGUGGAUGCAGGAUAACAUAGAUGCUAUUGAAGAUGUUAUCUAUCACAUUGAAAUAACAAGUUUGUUUGAUAGAGGAAAAGAGUUUUCAAAUUUAAAGUGGCCCUUAAAAUUGUUUGUUUGAAUUAGGUUUUGUUUUUGAUUCCUUGGAGAAUGCCUUUGUUUGAGAGACAAGUGAGUGAAGUCUAAAUUUCACAUUUUCUUGUGGUGCAGAUAAGCAUCUCUUAGCGAGGCUGGCCUUUCCAAAAAUCAGAAAGGAUGUGCAGCUCAAGGUCAAAGAUGAAUACAACAGUUACAGAGAAAAAAUUAAUUUUCAAUGGAGUAUGUUCCAGGGAUUAAAAUAAACAAAAUACAAGCAUAUAGUUCUUAUAGAAAGAGCAUCUGGCUGCCAUUGGUAAAUCAUCUGGAUGUCAGAUUUGCGGAAUGAUCGACCCUCUACAACACAAUUUAAGGAUAAACUUCCAUGGUUUCUUAGUUCUCUGCCUUCUGCUGAUUGUGCAAAAGAAAUUCAAGAGAAUAAUGCGGGCAAUCUAGGGUGCUCUUAUUGUUGCUUCAACACUUCAAAUAGUACUAGGAUUUAGUGGCCUUUGGCGUAACGUUGCGAGAACUUGUAUUGCCAGCUCAUGGACCGUAAGCACUUAACCAGUUUAUCUUUGAUUAUGAAGAUGCAUAUAUACAACUACUUGAGAAGAAAAAGUUCACAAAGCCACUGUUACAGCCAUUGUAAUGUCGAAUUGGAUAAAUAGAUUCAAUAGCUACUGUCUUAAAACCUAUGAAUUUGUAUUGUGGAGUCAGUGACAUACACCAUUGUAACUCUUCAAUUGUGGUGUGUUUAACAAUAUUCUAUUAAUUUGCAUAUAUACAACUACUUGAUGUUUGAUUUA